CAGGAUGAACGCUAGCGGGAGGCCUAACACAUGCAAGCCGAGCGGUAGAGAUUCUUCGGAAUCUUGAGAGCGGCGUACGGGUGCGGAACACGUGUGCAACCUACCUUUAUCUGGAGGAUAGCCUUUCGAAAGGAAGAUUAAUACUCCAUAAUAUAUUGAUUGGCAUCAAUUGAUAUUGAAAGCUCCGGCGGAUAGAGAUGGGCACGCGCAAGAUUAGUUAGUUGGUGAGGUAACGGCUCACCAAGACGAUGAUCUUUAGGGGCCUGAGAGGGUGAUCCCCCACACUGGUACUGAGACACGGACCAGACUCCUACGGGAGGCAGCAGUGAGGAAUAUUGGUCAAUGGGUGCAAGCCUGAACCAGCCAUCCCGCGUGAAGGACGACUGCCCUAUGGGUUGUAAACUUCUUUUGUAUAGGGAUAAACCUACCCUCGUGAGGGUAGCUGAAGGUACUAUACGAAUAAGCACCGGCUAACUCCGUG
RNAcentral lists this ribosomal RNA (481 nucleotides) under uncultured bacterium. RNAcentral describes it as "bacterial SSU rRNA". It matches the Rfam family "Bacterial small subunit ribosomal RNA", at positions 25 to 507 of the family's 1533-position model. The record is from RNAcentral.